UACAGGACAUAGCCCCUGUCUCCCAGCAACAAUUAACUAAUGAGCAUCAUGGAGGAUGGAUCCUUUAAAAUCCUACCUCCUCCAUGACAGAUGUUGAUGAAUACAGUCUUGUACAAGUAUUCAGGGGCCCUGUGCCCGCCUCACUUAUUUCUUACUUAGUAAACUUUAUCCAUUCGAUCAGCUUAUUGUUUGCAAUUCAUUGAGAUCCCUCAGUGGUUACAAUUUUGGGCUAGAAGAUGAAAGUUUUUCCUUGUAGGCCUCAGGCUAUGGAGAGUUCAGAAUGUGUCUAACAUGGACUUAAAUGCUGUUGGACAGGUUUCUGAGGAUGCCACACUGGAGAAUGAUUUAACGAUGGAGUCUUCAUAUAACUAGGAGCAGUGUUCAUCCCUUUUCUCUCUCAAUUCUGGCAGAUGCUGUAGUCACCACUGGAAAAUCAGAAGCAAGGUCAAGUCUGGAGAAACCAUCCUGGAAGCAGACCUUGGUGGAGAUCUCCGUGGCUCAGAGCAACCAUUAGGAUGGACAAAGGUGUUUAGGACACUGUCUAUGCCUUCCCAUCAAUCUUAGUGUCUUAGUGACCUUUCUUAUUGCUGUGAUAGAAUUCCCUGAGAAGGACUACAUGAAGCAGAAGGGGCCUACUUAGGCUCACAGUUUAAAGGGCACAGGUCAUCAUGGAAGAUCAGUCCUAUUAGCAGGGGCUUCAGACAGGAAGCUGAGAAGGAUGGAUGCUGUGUCUCAGCUCAGGUUCUCCUGCUGUUUGUCUUGCAGUUAAGAUGGGUCUUUACAUCUUACACAACCUCCCUAACCUAAUCUAGACAAUCCAUCACAGGCCAGCCUAGAGGCUUGUCAGCUUAGGUGGUUCUAGAGCCCAUCAAAUGAACAAGAGCCAAAGAGCCAUCAACUGUAACGCUUACAAUGGAAACACGAGGUGGUUAUUGUGCUUCUUAUUCUAUGAUUUAGAAGGCCAAGGUUCCAAGAAGUGUGUCUUCAUUUUUAUAUCAAGGGGCUGGGAAGAAGAGCACAUGUUCUUUGCAGCACACAUCAGCCUGCUUGUGAAGCUAUCCCUACUUUUGUCAAGGCUCUGAAGUUUCAUGAAAGAAACAGAAGAUAGUUUUUGUUUUUCUGCUAUCUUUUCUUAUCCUCUGAUUUCUCUUAUCUGGACCAAAUGAAGUGACUGGAGGAGUGUGACUGGAUCGGAGCAUCAAGCUCUGAAUGUGUGUGUGUGUGUGUGUGUAUGUGUGUGUGUGUGUGUGUGUGUGUGUGUGUGUGUGUGUGUGUGUGAGAGAGAGAGACAGAGACAGAGACAGAGACAGAGAGAGAGACAGAGAGACAGAGAGAAUCAGAGCAUCAAGCUCUGAAUGUGUGUGUGUGUGUGUGUGUGUGUGUGUGCGAGAGAGAGAGACACACACACACACAGAGACAGAGACAGAGAGAGAGAGAGACAGAGAGAGAGGAAGGGAGUUAGAAAGGCAAAUGCAAGAUGUAAACUUUUACAAGGCUACCUUAUUGACCAUUUGGGGGUGAGUAUCCAUAGUUUUCCUCAAUGAGGCCAUUUAUUUUCUUUCCAUUGCUACGGUGUUGGUGCUGGGACCACCAGCCAGUGCAGUAGGCUCCUAUAAUUUAGUCACAAACCCACCUGUCAAUGUUGUUCUGAACAUCUGGCAUUCAUCCUUUCAGAGGCUACAUCUUCUCCUCUAGGAUUAUGACAUUGCUAUAAAGAUCUCUGAGCUGGGAGAACUCUGAGGAACCCUCAGAACACAGAAACCUUAAUAACAGCCAGAUCUGAACGAACCCCAGUGGCUGCGGAGAUUCUAUACCUGACUCUCCUUCCCAAGGUGACCUAGGGUUUAGAGAGUUGGAUGAAUAAAUGAACAUGCUAAUAAAGGUAAAAUAUCCACCAACCACCAGCAAAAGCAGACCAUAAGCAACACAUUCUGGUGUGCAAGCUCUAACUCCUUGUUCCAAGCUCCAAGCUUUCUGUUAGCUUAAAAUGACAAGUUAAAAACGUUAAUUUAGAAAAGCAACUUCGAAUUUCUAUCUUCAACUGCUUAGCACACCCUUAGGAUGCUUUGUGGACCAUUACUAAUACCCGGAUACCUGAAAUGAAACCCUUCCUCUUUUCCCACCGAUCUUCUUUGCUCUGUCAAUGUUACUGCCAUCUCCCCAGCCACCUUUACCUGACUGUUAUACCGUAUUGCUGCUGUCUGCUCCUCGUGCAAUGCUGUCAGGCAAACAUGUUGUCCACAAAGAAGUCAUGGUUAGCCUGGUCUUAACUCUUAGCCACUUUGUAGAUCCUUGGCACUGAUUGUGCGAGUGUGUGCGUGCGUGCGUGCAUGCGUGCGUGUGUGAUCUGUAAAUAAAGAACAUCUGGUCUCAGUUUCUACACUAGAUAAGAGAGCAGUUAAUUGAUUUGAGAAAAGCAAGUUCACCUAGAAAACCAUCUGUCUGGGAACAAAAUUCCUGUGAUUCCAGGCACGGGGUUUUGCUGGUCCUACACCACUUUUUCCGUGAUCUCUAAGUUGCAGCCUGCAGUGGGGGAUGCAUAACGUUCAGUGAGGGAUGGAAGGGGACCUCGGUGGUAAACAGGUGCAUCUGCACACAUCUGUGGCUACAGUCUGCAAAUCAUCUCACUCUUUCGUUAAAUCCUGGGGAGUGGAGUGAGGUUAAAAGAUCCAUUUUCUCAGUUUUUGUGGUGGUUUGAAUGAGAAUGUCUUCCUCCAUGGGCUCAUGUAUUUGAACAUGUGGUGUCUCCAGUUGGUGUGGUUUGAGGAGGUCUUGGAGGUGUGAUUAUGUUGGAGGAUAUAUGUCACUGGGAAUAGACUCUUGAGUUUUUAAAGACUUGCACCAUUCCUGGGAGUCACUCCCUCCCUCUCUCUCUCUCUCUCUCUCUCUCUCUCUCUCUCUCUCUCUCUCUCUCUCUCUCUCUCUCUCUCUCCCCUUGCUUGUGAUUCAAGAUAUGAGCUCUCAUUUCUGCUUUAUCUGGCUUUCUGCCACACUUCCCUGUUGUAGCGGACUCUUACUCCAGGACCAUAAACCUAUAUAAACUCUUUCUUCUUUAACUUGCCUUGGUCAUGGUGCUUUAUUACAGUGACAGAAAAAUCAUGAAUAAAGUUUUGUUUCUGUUAUAUGUUGUAGACCCUAUCCAUCAGUUAAAUGUGUUGCUAGAUCUGACCUUUGUCAGGCAGUGCUGAGGGCUGAAGAUGGGGCUUCCACAUGCUUGGGUAUCAGUCUUGGAGAAUACAAAGUCGAUUUUACAUUUUUCUCCAUCCAACUCAUUAAUCAAAGACACAUCUGAGCUAAUAAAAGACCAAAUGUAUUCAAUAGAAAAUGAGAAUUAAGAGCUGGAAGGAGUUUUGAUAGACAUCAUUUGAUCCAAACCUGCAGAGUCACAGACAAGGGAAGUGGGACCCAACAAAGUCUUGACUUUCUAAAGUCACUUUCCUCCUGAGAAUUUGAACCUGAGCUGUGAGCCAUGUUUCUCAUCUCUUGACCUCAUGCUGCUGGCCUUAAAGUCAGCAGAGGAAAUAGCUGAAUAUUUUCCUGCAGAAACUGAGAAGUCACGUGGCUGGUUUCAAACAAAACAACAGCAGCCAACAACACAAGCAACUGUAAAAUAAUACACCCUGGCCACUGGGGGCAGAGUUGGUGCUGGAGGAGCUGACAGAAUUUUUGUUUUAUUUUUUGAUGUUCACCAGCAAAUUCUAAAGUGCACUCUAUAUGGAGAAUAACUGUUUAAGGAGCUGUGAGGGAGUGACUGAGAUAACUGUUAGCCUCUGGGGUUUCUCUGUAGUUGGAGUCGGGUGGGAGGUAUGCCCCUCUGGGCAUAAUGUUUUCUUGAUGGUUUUAAUCAUGCAUCUUAAAGUCAAAUAGAGUACCUGACAUGUUCAUCUCCCCAGUCUCUUCCAUGGUUAUAAUUUUUAAAAU
Molecule: long non-coding RNA, 3921 nt
Filed under: Mus musculus (house mouse)
Lineage: Eukaryota; Metazoa; Chordata; Mammalia; Rodentia; Muridae
Description: long non-coding RNA chr14:68141933-68145854
Source: RNAcentral